This 162-nucleotide small nuclear RNA is filed under the name Neotoma lepida (desert woodrat). RNAcentral's name for it is "U1 spliceosomal RNA". It matches the Rfam family "U1 spliceosomal RNA". Rfam says of the family: U1 is a small nuclear RNA (snRNA) component of the spliceosome (involved in pre-mRNA splicing). Its 5' end forms complementary base pairs with the 5' splice junction, thus defining the 5' donor site of an intron. There are significant differences in sequence and secondary structure between metazoan and yeast U1 snRNAs, the latter being much longer (568 nucleotides as compared to 164 nucleotides in human). Lineage: Eukaryota; Metazoa; Chordata; Mammalia; Rodentia; Cricetidae. The record is from Rfam by way of RNAcentral.
GCACUUACUGGCAGGGAAGAUGCCAUGAUCACGAAGAUAGUUUUCCCAGCGUGAGGCUUAUCCAUGCACUANGGAUGGGCUGACCCCUAAGAUUUCCCCCAAUGCAGGAAACUUAACUAUAUAAUUUGUGGUAGUGGGAGACCACAUUUAACGCCCCUCCAA